AUUGUUGUUCCACCUAAUAGCUAUAUAUACACGGCAGACGGCAACCUGCAAGCUACACCAGCCGGUCGAUUUACAUGAGCGUCCAACUUUCUCUGACCUAUUCUACCAUUAAACGACAUGAAAGCAAAGUCCUUAAAAGUAUUUUGACAUGGUGAAGGAGCUCAGUUUCUAGCGCCCGGAAUAGGAAGGGGCAGCCGAUCGAUAUUCCAUAUACUGCACUGAAAAGAUCCAACACAGUGAGCCAGCGUUGAAUACUGUAUAACGAGAGCUUCAAGAGCUUGUCGUGGAAAGGGGAGAAAAUAAGAUGGCGCUAAGCGUCGCGCGAUCCCUGGUGGGGAGUGCCGUAAACAAGGCGGCCUCCGAGGCCAUGGAUGAGAUGGCAUUGCUCAUGGGAGUGAGGAAUGAAAUAUGGUACAUCAAAGACGAGCUAAGAAUAAUGCAAGCUUUCUUGAGAACUGCUGAAAGGAUGAAGGAUAGAUAUGAGCUUGUCAAAGUUUGGGCGGAGCAAGUAGAGGACCUAUCCUAUGACAUUAAACAUUGCUUGGAUGAGUUCCAGUUUAAUUUGGGACACCCAGGUUGCUUGCAACGGCUGACGAAGCUUAGAGACCGCCAUCAAAUUGCUGUCCAGAUUCACAGCCUGAAAGUAAGAGUUGGAGAAGUAAGUAACAGGAUCCAACGCUACAGUCAUUUAAUGAAGCCCGUUACCCCUAGCAGCAUGGAUGACAGGAGAUUUUACAAGGAUAAGGCCAGUUCUGACAUGGAAGGCAUCCAUAGUUAUUCCCAUAGUCUUGAUGAAGCGGAACUUGUGGGCUUUUCAAAGCCUAAACAGGAGUUGAUUAUGCUGAUGGAUGUCAACGCCAAACAUGGUCCAGCCAAUGUGAUAUGUGCUGUUGGCAUGUGUGGAGUAGGCAAGACUACUCUUGCAACCAAGGUCUAUCAAAGUGAUAUUGCGAAGAAAUUUUCUUCAUGUGCUUGGAUCACAGUCUCGCAGUCAUUUUGCAGAUUGAGCUUCUUAAAGAUAUGAUCAAAAAACUUUUCAGUGAUGAAGCAUUGAUGAAGCAACUUGAAGGGAAGGUGAUGCGAGAAGAGGACCUCGCCCAUUACCUGAGGAUAGAGCUACUUGAGAAGAGGUACUUUGUUGUUCUUGAUGACUUAUGGAACAUAGAUGAUUGGAUUUGGAUCAAAUCUAUUGUUUUUCCUCUUAGUAACAACAAAGGUAGCCGGAUAAUAGUAACGACACAAGAUGUUGACUUAGCCGAGAAGUGUAAUUUGGAAUCUUCCAGAUCACUUAUCUACCACCAUCAAUCCCUAGGAACAAUUGAUGCCAUGAGGUUACUGCUAAGGAAGAUGAGGAGAAGUGAGGAAGACAUGAAAAAUGAUAAGGACAUGAGGGAAAUAGUUAUUAAGAUAGUUAAAAAAUCUGGACGGUUACCCCUAGUUGUACUCACACUAGGAGGCAUGCUUUCCACCAUAGUGGCUAGUGAGUGGCAAAGUAUUUAUAACCAGCUCCCCUUGGAGCUAGAGAGCAACCAAAGCCUUGAAGCAAUAAAGAAGAUGAUUAUCCUGAGCUACAACCACUUGCCUUCUCAUCUUAAGCCAUGUUUCCUAUACCUAAGCAUCUUCCCCAGGAAUGUUGAGAUCCAAAUAAGGCAUUUGAUAAAUAGAUGGAUAACAGAGGGAUUUGUUACAUCUAGGGUUGGAAUGGACAUUGAGGCUGUCGCGAUGAGCUAUUUUUAUGAUUUAGUUAAUAGAGGUACAAUUCAACCGUCAAGAGUAAAUGUAGAAGGAAGGGUUAAGAGUUGUCGAGUCCAUGGUGUCAUCUCUGAUAUCUUGGAAUCCAUUUCAAGAGAUGAAAAUUUUGUAUACCUUACAAGUGAUAUUGUAAGAAGAGCACCAGAGGAAAACUUUCACCAUGUAGUACACCAUGGUCUGAAUUGCCCGAAUAUUAGCAUGGAUUGGAGUCAUGUUCGAUCCUUUACUUUGUUUGGCAUGCUUCCCAUGGAGCCAGUAUGUUCAGCCUACCUGAGGAUGCUAAGUGUCUUGGAUCUUCAAGAUGCACGAUGCAGUAUCACGCAGAAAGAUAUCAACAACAUAGGGUUGUUGCGCCGCUUGAAAUAUCUGAAUGUUCGAGGACAUUCAGAUAUCUGUGCACUUCCAGGAUCCAUAGGGAAACUACAUGGCUUACAAUAUUUGGAUGCAAGAAACAGUUCCAUCACAUCAUUACCCACUGAGAUUAGUAAACUGCAUAGUCUCAUUAGUCUCCGUUGUAGCAGCGGAAAAAUUGAUCUAGAUGGUCCACAGGAAGGCUUGGCGCACAUAUUGUGCCUGCCCAUGGUAUUCACACUUUCUGGUAAAUCUGGUAUCCGAGCUGAGUCAAGAGGUCUGAGGGUGCCAAGAGGGAUCGGUGAGUUGCAAGAGUUACGGACCUUAGAUGUUGUUGACAUCAGAAGAACUAGUAGAAGAGCAAUUAAAGAGCUGGGGGAGCUUAUGCAGCUAAGGAAACUAAGUGUGGUAAUAGCACGGGCAUCCAAGCAAAAAUGUAAGAUACUUUGUGCAGCCAUUGAGAAGCUAUCUUCCCUCUCUUCUCUUGGUGUAGAUGCUGGCGGAAGCUCUCUUGAGUGGAUGCAUUAUGGUUCAUCUCCUCCGCCCCUCCUGAGCUCCCUUAAGUUGGUUGGAUGUCUUGGAGAGGUGCCAGACUGGUUUGGAAGUUUGAUGCAUUUGGUGAAGAUUUACCUAGUGGGAAGCCAACUGAAGGGAGAUAAAACCAUGGAAUUGCUAGGGACACUGCCCAGCCUCAUGCACAUUGGUCUUCAUCGGAAUGCUUAUGCUGGAGAGAAGCUAGUCUUCGCAUGUGGAGCAUUCAUAUGUCUCAGGAAACUGGAUUUUUAUGGAAGUAGUGGACUGAGAGAGGUGAGAUUUGAGGAGGGCACCUCGCCCCACUUGGAAAAGAUGGAAUUCGGCCUUUGCAGGUUGGAAUCAGGGAUUAUUGGUAUCAAGUACCUUCCAAGACUCAAGGAGAUUUCACUUGGUUACGCCGUUAAAGUGGUGAGGCUUUAUGCGCUGCAAAAUGAGGUAGAUGCGCACCCCAACCAUCCCAUGCUGCGACUAUCUGAAGGCAGGAGGGACCAUGACCUGGAGGACAUCAUCACAGAAUUAUCAUCGUCGGAGGAAUCAUCUCCACUUCGAGAGCUUUUAGAAGUGGGAGAAAGCUCCUCGCAGGUGGUGGUCAUGACGGCACGGAGCGACAGCAGCCUCGACCGUGUCAAAGGAGACCUCGAUGACGAUGAUUUCUGCUCCUGCAAUUCCGACGACGAUGAUGACGAUGCCUGAUGGUCGACAGAUACUUCUGCUCCUAUUGCUCCUGGUGCUGAUUUUCCAAGUUUCGCUGGAGGUGUUGCUCGUUUCCAUUUUGCUGCUUCCUCUUGGAAUAUUGCCACCAUCUUCUACACCCUGUUGGAGGAACUGGAGCAACUCUGGCUGCUCCUCGACCUGAAGUGAACCAUCCUGUGCUGCCAAGGACACUUAACGAUCUCGAGUGAAGUUGGAAGCAUGGGAUUCCUUUGCCACGAGAGAGAUAGUCUGGGGUGUCGGACCAUGAAGUCGUCAUCCUGAUAACUGGUAUUUCAGAUGGGUGGGGAGAAGACGCGGAAAGUACAAUGCACGCGGGAUGCUGGUACUAAUUAAGAUGCAGAUGUUGUCAUGUUUGCAAUUGUUCAUCACCGUCAGCUUUCCAAGUCCGACGGUGGUGGCCUUUGUAUGCCGCAAAGUGAAGCUGAUAUACAAACUGAUGUUCCUGCGCUGCCGAAGUCAGAGUACUGCAGUGAUCUUGGGAGUCCCAGUGUAACAGAGGAGACGAAACGUAUGAUACGACGCCAUUUUGAGAUCUCACAAAGGGUUCACAAGUGGCAACUGGUGGCCGAGAUGACAAUCGGUUCUUGGGGAGCACAAUGGAAUGGAUCAACCUGAUGUGGAGACGUGCAGUCAGUUGUGAAUAUAGACACACUUUGUUAAGUAGCACUUCCUCUGUUUUUUUGGAGACGAUUAGGUACUCCCCAUUUGUCGCGGCCACUAUAUCUUCUCUUGUUUGUAGAGAAACAAUGAAGAUUACAUUUGUUGUCAUUCAUGUUCCGUAAAUUUGAGUCGUUGAAUUAAUUGCUCUCUCUUGUGUUUUUAUCCAUGUUCCAGAAAUUAAAGGUGAUGAAAUUACACACCUGCUUUAUAUGCCAUUAACUAUGCGAUUUCCAUUGGUUUCACCUUGCAAUGGUAU
RNAcentral lists this ribosomal RNA (4267 nucleotides) under Triticum aestivum (bread wheat). Its description in RNAcentral is "partial small subunit ribosomal RNA". The record is from RNAcentral. Lineage: Eukaryota; Viridiplantae; Streptophyta; Magnoliopsida; Poales; Poaceae.